GACGAACGCUGGCGGCGUGCUUAACACAUGCAAGUCGAACGUGAUUUUUGUGGAAAUUCUUUCGGGAAUGGAAAUGAAAUGAAAGUGGCGAACGGGUGAGUAACACGUGAGCAACCUACCUUACACAGGGGGAUAGCCGUUGGAAACGACGAUUAAUACCGCAUGAGACCACAGAAUCGCAUGAUAUAGGGGUCAAAGAUUUAUCGGUGUAAGAAGGGCUCGCGUCUGAUUAGCUAGUUGGAAGGGUAAAGGCCUACCAAGGCGACGAUCAGUAGCCGGUCUGAGAGGAUGAACGGCCACAUUGGAACUGAGACACGGUCCAAACUCCUACGGGAGGCAGCAGUGGGGAAUAUUGCACAAUGGGGGGAACCCUGAUGCAGCGACGCCGCAUGAGCGAAGAAGGUUUUCGAAUCGUAAAGCUCUGUCCUAUGAGAAGAUAAUGACGGUAUCAUAGGAGGAAGCCCCGGCUAAAUACGUG
RNAcentral lists this ribosomal RNA (478 nucleotides) under uncultured bacterium. RNAcentral's name for it is "partial 16S ribosomal RNA". It matches the Rfam family "Bacterial small subunit ribosomal RNA", at positions 28 to 507 of the family's 1533-position model. The record is from RNAcentral.